RNAcentral lists this ribosomal RNA (472 nucleotides) under uncultured bacterium. Its description in RNAcentral is "bacterial SSU rRNA". It matches the Rfam family "Bacterial small subunit ribosomal RNA", at positions 355 to 825 of the family's 1533-position model. The record is from RNAcentral.
UGGGGAAUUUUGGACAAUGGGCGCAAGCCUGAUCCAGCCAUACCGCGUGAGUGAAGAAGGCCUUCGGGUUGUAAAGCUCUUUCAGACGGAAAGAAACGGUUACGGCUAAUACCCGUGACUAAUGACGGUACCGUAAGAAGAAGCACCGGCUAACUACGUGCCAGCAGCCGCGGUAAUACGUAGGGUGCGAGCGUUAAUCGGAAUUACUGGGCGUAAAGCGUGCGCAGGCGGUUUGGUAAGACAGAUGUGAAAUCCCCGGGCUUAACCUGGGAACUGCAUUUGUGACUGCCAGACUAGAGUGUAGCAGAGGGGGGUAGAAUUCCACGUGUAGCAGUGAAAUGCGUAGAUAUGCGGAGGAACACCGAUGGCGAAGGCAAUCCCCUGGACCUGUACUGACGCUCAUGCACGAAAGCGUGGGGAGCAAACAGGAUUAGAUACCCCCGUAGUCCCUGAGCGGGCUGGCAAGGCGCAU